RNAcentral lists this ribosomal RNA (256 nucleotides) under uncultured prokaryote. RNAcentral's name for it is "partial 16S ribosomal RNA". It matches the Rfam family "Bacterial small subunit ribosomal RNA", at positions 521 to 776 of the family's 1533-position model. The record is from RNAcentral.
UAAUACGUAGGGACCAAGCGUUGUUCGGAUUUACUGGGCGUAAAGGGCGCGUAGGCGGCGUGGUAAGUCAGCUGUGAAAUCUCCGAGCUUAACUCGGAACGGUCAGCUGAUACUGCUGUGCUAGAGUACAGAAAGGGCAAUCGGAAUUCUUGGUGUAGCGGUGAAAAGCGUAGAUAUCAAGAGGAACACCUGAGGCGAAGGCGGGUUGCUAGGCUGAUACUGACGCUGAGGCGCGAAAGCUAGGGUAGCAAACGGG